RNAcentral lists this ribosomal RNA (238 nucleotides) under uncultured bacterium. RNAcentral's name for it is "partial 16S ribosomal RNA". It matches the Rfam family "Bacterial small subunit ribosomal RNA", at positions 100 to 334 of the family's 1533-position model. The record is from RNAcentral.
CGGGACGGGUGAGUAACGUGUGGGCAACCUGCCCUGUACUGGGGAAUAAUCAUUGGAAACGAUGACUAAUACCGCAUGUGGUCCUCGGAAGGCAUCUUCUGAGGAAGAAAGGAUUUAUUCGGUACAGGAUGGGCCCGCAUCUGAUUAGCUAGUUGGUGAGGUAACGGCCCACCAAGGCGACGAUCGGUAGCCGGACUGGGAGGUUGAACGGCCACAUUGGGACUGAGACACGGCCCAG